CCUACGGGAGGCAGCAGUGGGGAAUCUUCCACAAUGGGCGAAAGCCUGAUGGAGCAACGCCGCGUGGGUGAAGAUGGUCUUCGGAUCGUAAAACUCUGUUGUUAGAGAAGAAUGAGCGUGAGAGUAACUGUUCACGUUUCGACGGUAUCUUACCAGAAAGCCACGGCUAACUACGUGCCAGCAGCCGCGGUAAUACGUAGGUGGCAAGCGUUAUCCGGUUUUAUUGGGCGGAAGGGGAGCGCAGGCGGUCUUUUAAGUCUGAUGUGAAAGCCUUCGGCUUAACCGGAGUAGUGCAUUGGAAACUGGGAGACUUGAGUGCAGAUGAGGAGAGUGGAACGUGAUGUGUAGCGGUGAAAUGCGUAGAUAUAUGGAAGAACACCAAUGGCGAAGGCGGCUCUCUGGUCUGUAACUGACGCUGAGGUUCGAAAGCGUGGGUAGCAAACAGGAUUAGAUACCCGAGUAGUC
RNAcentral lists this ribosomal RNA (465 nucleotides) under uncultured bacterium. RNAcentral's name for it is "partial 16S ribosomal RNA". It matches the Rfam family "Bacterial small subunit ribosomal RNA", at positions 338 to 795 of the family's 1533-position model. The record is from RNAcentral.